UAAAUUUUACAUUUUAAAAUUUAGAUUUUAAAUUUAAAAUUGAAUUUAAAAAUUUAAAUUUAAAAUUUUAAAAUAAUAUAUUUCAUCUUUCAUAUUUUAUAUAUAUAGAGAGAGCUAGGCUGGUAUACCAUCGAUAGCACGAAGGCCUCAAUGCUAUCAAGUUGUUUUCAAUGAUACGGCUUUCAAAUCGACGAUCGGUUCCGUUAGAUUUGAUCUACACUAUUGAAAGUAUUUGGAAACUAAAUUUCAUAAUUUUUCGGCAUCAUUUACUUAUCAAACAAGUAGUAUAAAAAGGAACGGCUGAAAAUAAAAACCUCAUAAAAAAUGGUGAUAAAAGACUUAAAUUUAAGAUCAGAGAAACUGAUCUUACUCUAAUCAGUGAAAAAAAAAAUUCUAUUAAAUUUUUAUCAGAUUUGGAUUAUUUUACACCGUUAAAUUCACAAAUACAUCACAUCUACCAUUAAAAUCGUCAAUUUUGAGACCUUUUGAUAAGUAGCCAAAUAAUGUAGAAAAAUUAUGAAAUUUAGUUUUCAAAUACUUUCAAUAGUGUAGAUCAAGUCUAACGGAGCUGAUUGUCGAUUUGGAAGCUGCAUCAUUGAAAACUACUUGGCAACACGGAGGUCUCCGUGCUACCGAUAGUAUACCAGCCUAGCUCUAUA
Molecule: long non-coding RNA, 659 nt
Filed under: Ananas comosus (pineapple)
Lineage: Eukaryota; Viridiplantae; Streptophyta; Magnoliopsida; Poales; Bromeliaceae
Description: long non-coding RNA (ACOM_LNC038899)
Source: RNAcentral